GACGGAGGGUGCUAGCGUUGUUCGGAAUCACUGGGCGUAAAGGGCGCGUAGGCGGCCUUGCAAGUCGGUUGGGGAAAGCCCGGGGCUCACCCCCGGAGGUGCGGCCGAGACUGCAGGGCUGGAGGCCGGAAGAGGAGGGUGGAAUACCCAGUGUAGAGGUGAAAUUCGUAGAUAUUGGGUGGAACACCGGUGGCGAAAGCGGCUCUCUGGUCCGGACCUGACGCUGAGGCGCGAAAGCGUGGGGAGCAAACAGG
This 254-nucleotide ribosomal RNA is filed under the name uncultured bacterium. RNAcentral's name for it is "partial 16S ribosomal RNA". It matches the Rfam family "Bacterial small subunit ribosomal RNA", at positions 524 to 776 of the family's 1533-position model. The record is from RNAcentral.